This 492-nucleotide ribosomal RNA is filed under the name uncultured bacterium. RNAcentral's name for it is "partial 16S ribosomal RNA". It matches the Rfam family "Bacterial small subunit ribosomal RNA", at positions 29 to 507 of the family's 1533-position model. The record is from RNAcentral.
AGUGAACGCUGGCGGUAGGCCUAACACAUGCAAGUCGAACGGCAGCACAGUAAGAGCUUGCUCUUACGGGUGGCGAGUGGCGGACGGGUGAGGAAUACAUCGGAAUCUACUUUUUCGUGGGGGAUAACGUAGGGAAACUUACGCUAAUACCGCAUACGACCUACGGGUGAAAGCAGGGGAUCUUCGGACCUUGCGCGAUUGAAUGAGCCGAUGUCGGAUUAGCUAGUUGGCGGGGUAAAGGCCCACCAAGGCGACGAUCCGUAGCUGGUCUGAGAGGAUGAUCAGCCACACUGGAACUGAGACACGAUCCAGACUCCUACGGGAGGCAGCAGUGGGGAAUAUUGGACAAUGGGCGCAAGCCUGAUCCAGCCAUACCGCGUGAGUGAAGAAGGCCUUCGGGUUGUAAAGCCCUUUUGUUGGGAAAGAAAAGCAGCAGGUUAAUACCCCGCUGUUCUGACGGUACCCAAAGAAUAAGCACCGGCUAACUUCGUG